AGUGAACGCUGGCGGUAGGCCUAACACAUGCAAGUCGAACGGCAGCACAGAGGAGCUUGCUCCUUGGGUGGCGAGUGGCGGACGGGUGAGGAAUACAUCGGAAUCUACUCUGUCGUGGGGGAUAACGUAGGGAAACUUACGCUAAUACCGCAUACGACCUACGGGUGAAAGCAGGGGACCUUCGGGCCUUGCGCGAUUGAAUGAGCCGAUGUCGGAUUAGCUAGUUGGCGGGGUAAAGGCCCACCAAGGCGACGAUCCGUAGCUGGUCUGGAAGGAUGAUCAGCCACACUGGAACUGGGACACGGUCCAGACUCCUACGGGAGGCAGCAGUGGGGAAUAUUGGACAAUGGGCGCAAGCCUGAUCCAGCCAUACCGCGUGGGUGAAGAAGGCCGUCGGGUUGUAAAGCCCUUUUGUUGGGAAAGAAAUCCAGCUGGCUAAUACCCGGUUGGGAUGACGGUACCCAAAGAAUAAGCACCGGCUAACUUCGUGCCAGCCGCCGCGGUAA
RNAcentral lists this ribosomal RNA (506 nucleotides) under uncultured bacterium. Its description in RNAcentral is "partial 16S ribosomal RNA". It matches the Rfam family "Bacterial small subunit ribosomal RNA", at positions 29 to 523 of the family's 1533-position model. The record is from RNAcentral.